Molecule: ribosomal RNA, 476 nt
Filed under: uncultured bacterium
Lineage: Bacteria
Description: partial 16S ribosomal RNA
Rfam family: Bacterial small subunit ribosomal RNA
Source: RNAcentral
GACGAACGCUGGCGGCGUGCUUAACACAUGCAAGUCGAACGGUAAGGCCUUCGGGUACACGAGUGGCGAACGGGUGAGUAACACGUGGGUGAUCUGCCCUGCACUUUGGGAUAAGCCUGGGAAACUGGGUCUAAUACCGAAUAGGACCACGCGCUUCAUGGCGUGUGGUGGAAAGCUUUUGCGGUGUGGGAUGGGCCCGCGGCCUAUCAGCUUGUUGGUGGGGUAAUGGCCUACCAAGGCGACGACGGGUAGCCGGCCUGAGAGGGUGACCGGCCACACUGGGACUGAGAUACGGCCCAGACUCCUACGGGAGGCAGCAGUGGGGAAUAUUGCACAAUGGGCGCAAGCCUGAUGCAGCGACGCCGCGUGAGGGAUGACGGCCUUCGGGUUGUAAACCUCUUUCAGUAGGGACGAAGCGCAAGUGACGGUACCUAUAGAAGAAGGACCGGCCAACUACGUGCCAGCCGCCGCAGUAA